This 87-nucleotide transfer RNA is filed under the name bacterium. RNAcentral describes it as "tRNA-Ser". It matches the Rfam family "tRNA". Rfam says of the family: Transfer RNA (tRNA) molecules are approximately 80 nucleotides in length. The record is from RNAcentral.
GGAGAUGUGCCAGAGCGGUUGAAUGGGCCGCACUCGAAAUGCGGUGUACCCUCACGGGUACCGGGGGUUCGAAUCCCUCCAUCUCCG